This 463-nucleotide ribosomal RNA is filed under the name uncultured bacterium. Its description in RNAcentral is "partial 16S ribosomal RNA". It matches the Rfam family "Bacterial small subunit ribosomal RNA", at positions 28 to 507 of the family's 1533-position model. The record is from RNAcentral.
GACGAACGCUGGCGGCGUGCUUAACACAUGCAAGUCGAGCGGUAAGGCCCUUCGGGGUACACGAGCGGCGAACGGGUGAGUAACACGUGAGUAAUCUGCCCAUCACUUCGGGAUAACUCCGGGAAACCGGUGCUAAUACCGAAUAUGACCACUUCAGGCAUCUGAUGGUGGUGGAAAGUUCCGGCGGUGAUGGAUGAGCUCGCGGCCUAUCAGCUUGUUGGUGGGGUAGUGGCCUACCAAGGCUUCGACGGGUAGCCGGCCGGAGAGGGUGACCGGCCACAGUGGGACGGAGCAGCGGCCGAGACUCCUACGGGAGGAAGCAGUGGGGAAUAUGGAACAGUGGGCGAAACCUUGAUCCAGCAACGCCGCGGGAGGGAGGACGGCCUUCGGUUUGUAAACCUCUUUCAGCGGGAACGAAGCGCAAGUGAGGUUCCCUAAAAAAGAAGCCCCGCCCAACCAGUUC